This 372-nucleotide ribosomal RNA is filed under the name uncultured bacterium. Its description in RNAcentral is "bacterial SSU rRNA". It matches the Rfam family "Bacterial small subunit ribosomal RNA", at positions 527 to 896 of the family's 1533-position model. The record is from RNAcentral.
GUAGGGUGCAAGCGUUGUCCGGAAUUAUUGGGCGUAAAGAGCUCGUAGGCGGUCUGUCGCGUCGGCUGUGAAAACUCGGGGCUCAACCCCGAGCCUGCAGUCGAUACGGGCAGACUAGAGUGCGGUAGGGGAGACUGGAAUUCCUGGUGUAGCGGUGAAAUGCGCAGAUAUCAGGAGGAACACCGGUGGCGAAGGCGGGUCUCUGGGCCGUAACUGACGCUGAGGAGCGAAAGCGUGGGGAGCAAACAGGAUUAGAUACCCUGGUAGUCCACGCCGUAAACGGUGGGUGCUAGGUGUAGGUCGUAUUCCACGCGAUCUGUGCCGCAGCUAACGCAUUAAGCACCCCGCCUGGGGAGUACGGCCGCAAGGCUA